This 69-nucleotide transfer RNA is filed under the name Ictidomys tridecemlineatus (thirteen-lined ground squirrel). Its description in RNAcentral is "Spermophilus tridecemlineatus (thirteen-lined ground squirrel) tRNA". It matches the Rfam family "tRNA". From Rfam's summary of the family: Transfer RNA (tRNA) molecules are approximately 80 nucleotides in length. Their secondary structure includes four short double-helical elements and three loops (D, anti-codon, and T loops). Lineage: Eukaryota; Metazoa; Chordata; Mammalia; Rodentia; Sciuridae. The record is from Rfam by way of RNAcentral.
GGGGCUGUAGCUCAAUGGUAGAGCGCUCACCUAGCAAGUGCGAGGCCCUGGGUUCUAUCCUCAGUACCA